This 523-nucleotide ribosomal RNA is filed under the name uncultured eukaryote. Its description in RNAcentral is "SSU rRNA". It matches the Rfam family "Eukaryotic small subunit ribosomal RNA", at positions 22 to 548 of the family's 1831-position model. The record is from RNAcentral.
AGUCAUAUGCUUGUCUUAAAGGCUAAGCCAUGCAUGUCACAGAAUAAAUCCUAGCACGGUGAAUCUGCGAAUGGCUCAUUAAAACAGUUUUAGUUUAUUUCGUUGUCGAAAGUUAUAUGGAUAACUGUGGUAAUUCUAGAGCUAAUACAUGCUCAAAGACCCGACUUCUCGGAAGGGUCGUAUUUAUUAGCCCCAGAACCAUUUCCCGUCAGGGAGACAGGAUGAUUCAUGAUAAACGAACGGAGCGUAUGGCUUGAGCCGACGCUGUGCGAUUCAAGAUUCUGACCUAUCAGCUUUCGACGGUAGGGUAUUGGCCUACCGUGGCAUUGACGGGUAACGGAGAAUUAGGGUUCGAUUCCGGAGAGGGAGCCCGAGAAACGGCUACCACAUCUAAGGAAGGCAGCAGGCGCGCAAAUUACCCAAUCCUGACAAAGGGAGGUAGUGACAAGAAAUAACAAAGCAGGCCUCUAUGAGGUUUUGCUAUUGGAAUGAGUAGAAUUCAAAUCCCUUUACGACUAUCAAU